This 517-nucleotide ribosomal RNA is filed under the name Apodrosus franklyni. Its description in RNAcentral is "partial 12S ribosomal RNA". The record is from RNAcentral. Lineage: Eukaryota; Metazoa; Arthropoda; Insecta; Coleoptera; Curculionidae.
GGUUAUACAUGUAAUUUAAUAGAAAUUUUUUGAUAAUAAUAAAUAAUUAAAAUGUGGAUUUAUAGAAAAUUUUAUUAGGUGAAAUUUUAAAAUUUAUAUAAAUCCUUAUAAGGUUUAUAAAUUUAAUAAAUUUUUUGUUUAAACUAGGAUUAGAUACCCUAUUAUUUUUAGUGUAAGUUUUUUUAUCAGAUUAGUAUUAGUUAUAGUCUUGAAAAUUAAAGAAAAUGGCGGUAUUUUAGUCUUUUCAGAGGAACCUGUCCUGUAAUUGAUGACCCACGAUUUAAAAUACUUAUUUUUAGUUUAUAUAUCGCCGUAGGUGAAUAUUUUUAUAAAAGUUUAAUAUUCAAGAUUUUUAUUAUGAUAGAAAAUCAGGUCAAGGUGUAGCUUAUAAAUAAGAAGAGAUGGGUUACAAUAAAUGUAUUUAAAUGGAUAAUAAUUUGUAAAAUUUGUUGAAAGUGGAUUUGAAAGUAAUUUUAUUAAAUUAAUUAAAAUGAUUUUAGCUCUAAAGUAUGUACAU